This 70-nucleotide transfer RNA is filed under the name Rhodeus shitaiensis. RNAcentral's name for it is "tRNA-Pro". It matches the Rfam family "tRNA". From Rfam's summary of the family: Transfer RNA (tRNA) molecules are approximately 80 nucleotides in length. The record is from RNAcentral. Lineage: Eukaryota; Metazoa; Chordata; Actinopteri; Cypriniformes; Acheilognathidae.
CAGAAGAUAGUUUAGUUUAGAAUUCUGGCCUUGGGAGCCGGCGGCGGGAGUUAGAAUCUCCUUUUUCUGG